RNAcentral lists this ribosomal RNA (429 nucleotides) under Chloroflexota bacterium. RNAcentral's name for it is "Chloroflexi bacterium partial 16S ribosomal RNA". It matches the Rfam family "Bacterial small subunit ribosomal RNA", at positions 355 to 776 of the family's 1533-position model. Lineage: Bacteria; Bacillati; Chloroflexota. The record is from RNAcentral.
UGGGGAAUAUUGCACAAUGGGCGCAAGCCUGAUGCAGCCAUGCCGCGUGUAUGAAGAAGGCCUUCGGGUUGUAAAGUACUUUCAGCGGGGAGGAAGGGAGUAAAGUUAAUACCUUUGCUCAUUGACGUUACCCGCAGAAGAAGCACCGGCUAACUCCGUGCCAGCAGCCGCGGUAAUACGGAGGGUGCAAGCGUUAAUCGGAAUUACUGGGCGUAAAGCGCACGCAGGCGGUUUGUUAAGUCAGAUGUGAAAUCCCCGGGCUCAACCUGGGAACUGCAUCUGUGACUGGCAAGCUUGAGUCUCGUAGAGGGGGGUAGAAUUCCAGGUGUAGCGGUGAAAUGCGUAGAGAUCUGGAGGAAUACCGGUGGCGAAGGCGGCCCCCUGGACGAAGACGGACGCUCAGGUGCGAAAGCGUGGGGAGCAAACAGG